AAUAAAGCUUUGAUUGAACUUGUAAGUAAUUAAGCAUCUCUUUGUUUUCCACAAUGCACUUUUCGUGUUUAAUUAUUUCAGCCUCUUGGUUGCAUGAUCUUAACUCCUUAAAACUUUUUUAGUGAAAAAUGUUUUUGUGAGGAAGAAGGAUAAUUUUUCAUAACCCAGAGGUUUCUGGUAUUGUGAAUCUACCCUAGAGGUCAACUAGAUUAUUGAGUUUAU
Molecule: unclassified non-coding RNA, 222 nt
Filed under: Hevea brasiliensis (rubber tree)
Lineage: Eukaryota; Viridiplantae; Streptophyta; Magnoliopsida; Malpighiales; Euphorbiaceae
Source: RNAcentral